Molecule: small RNA, 126 nt
Filed under: Marmota monax (woodchuck)
Lineage: Eukaryota; Metazoa; Chordata; Mammalia; Rodentia; Sciuridae
Source: RNAcentral
GCCAGGUGAGUGGCACACACCUGUAAUCCCAGUGGCUCAGGAGGCUGAGGUAGGAGGAUCACCAGUUCAAAGCCAGCCUCAGUAAUUUAGCGAGGCCCUAAGCAACUCAGUGAGACCCUGUCUCUA